RNAcentral lists this long non-coding RNA (1609 nucleotides) under Homo sapiens (human). Its description in RNAcentral is "HSALNT0118624". The record is from RNAcentral. Lineage: Eukaryota; Metazoa; Chordata; Mammalia; Primates; Hominidae.
GUAGUCUCUUUUCUAAAGCAGAGCAAGACUGACCUUUGCUCUGGUUCUCAAGGAGUUCCUCGUAUCCAUCUGCAACCCCCUCAGCCUGGACUUCAUUGGCCAUAUUACUAUCAGCAUUUUGGUCACAACCAUUCAACAAGUUUCUAGGAAGUCCCAAACUUUCUCACAUCUUCCUGUCUUCUUUUGAGCCCUCCAAACUGUUCCACCCUCUGCCCAUUACCCAGAUCCAAAGUUGCUUCCAUAUUUUUACAUUUCUUUAUAGCAAUACCUCACUCUUGGUAUCAAUUUCCUGUAUUAUGAGGUUGUUGCAAUAGUAAUUGCAGUUUUUGCCAUACUUUUAAUUACUUUGCUGUUACUUUUAAUGACAAAAACUGCAAUUACUUUUGCAUCAACAUAAGAGUUUGAUUUCACACUGCUGUAAAGAACUCCCUGAGACUGGGUAAUUUAUAAACCAAAAAAAAAAAAAGAAAAAAGAGAAAAAACUUUAAUUGACUCACAGUUCUGCAGGUCUGGGAGGCCUCAGGAAACUUACAAUCAUGGCAGAAGUCACCUCUUCACAGGGUGACAGAAGAGAGAAGAAGAGAGCAAGAGAGAAACUACCAAACACUUACAAAACCAUCAGAUCUCAUGAGAACUCACUAUCAGGAGAAACAGCUUGGGGGAAACCAUCCCUAUGAUCUAAUCGCCGCCUAUCAGGUCCCUCCCUCAACAUCUGGGGAUUACAAUUCAAGAUGAGAUUUGAGUGGGAACACAAAGCCUAACUAUAUCAAACACCAUGUAGUUCAGUGGUCUACAGAAAUGUCAUAAACCACAAGUAUUCGGACUAGCAAUAGACAAAAUACAUAGUUUCUUUUAUAUGGUUGCAUCAACUGUAAAUCAUUCUUAAUAAGGAGUCAAAUAUAUUGGUUUUCUAAAAUGAAGCAAGGAAUUAAAAUAAAAUGUACAAAAGGAUGUUCUAUUUUCCUAAGUCAUAAAAUUAUAAAUCAGAUUUUUUAACUUAAACUUCAGAAAUGAGAUAGUAAAGUGAUUGGCCAUAGCAUACACUAGAGAAGAUUUGAUAGGAAGGGGAACAUUUGGAAAAGAGAAAAAUAAAUCAUACUUAACAGUAGUCAGUGAUGAUGGGAAAUAUUGCUGCAGAAAUUGCUCAUGAUGAAUAAUGGAUAAUGAUCCACAGGCCAUAUUGACAAAUCAUUGCUGAAAGCAAAGAAGAAAGAAAAAUUCAAUGUGUGGCAGUUAGUUUUACCUUAAAGCUUUAUAUACAUAUAAACAUUUAGAGAGAUCUCUGGAAUAUAAACAAUGGGGACAAAGGCAAAUAGCAUUUAAAACCCAAGAUGGAAGUCUCUACUAAAACUCAAGGUUUGAUGCAACCCUCAUAUCCCUAUUUCUCUGAAUAGUGACACCUUCCCAGAAUCAUCUUUGAUUACAAUGAAUGUGCUGAUUAUAUGUGUCUCAUUAUGUAAGGCAAUCUAUCACUGUGGUAGCUAAAGAAAUUACCUGUCAAAAUUUUCUGCCUGAAUUUUAGUGUUCAAAUUAUAUCCUCUAUAUAAUACUUGAAUUCCCAUUCAUCUAAGAUUAUUUUAAAAUAAAAGUGGUAGAUAUUUCCCCUAUU